RNAcentral lists this ribosomal RNA (253 nucleotides) under uncultured bacterium. RNAcentral's name for it is "partial 16S ribosomal RNA". It matches the Rfam family "Bacterial small subunit ribosomal RNA", at positions 524 to 776 of the family's 1533-position model. The record is from RNAcentral.
UACGGGGGGGGCAAGCGUUGUUCGGAAUUACUGGGCGUAAAGGGCGCGUAGGCGGUUUGCUAAGUUGGAUGUGAAAACUCUGGGCUUAACCCAGAGCCUGCAUUCAAAACUGACAGGCUAGAGCUCUGGAGGGGAUAGCGGAAUUCCUGGUGUAGCGGUGAAAUGCGCAGAUAUCAGGAGGAACACCGGUGGCGAAGGCGGGUCUCUGGGCCGUAACUGACGCUGAGGAGCGAAAGCGUGGGGAGCGAACAGG